CUACAAGUUAAGUUAGGCAUAUGGUUUGUCAACAUGCCCAUCGAUCUUCUACCAGUGAAACUAAACUAGACCCGCCAUUUUUCCCCCAUUGAUCUAAUGUACAGGCUCUUUCUACAUGUAAAGUUACAAAAAGGGAAAAUUGGGGAGUAACAAAUAAACCAAGUACCUCACACCAUCAACAAAUCAUAGUAACCCCUAAUGUUCAUGCUUGACACGCCCUUUAAGUAUACCGGGAAUAGGGGGCGAUGUUGGUAGUCUAACUCCGUUUGGCCUCGCAACUUGGGGUGAUUGAUGAUAGAUAGGUGUGGUUGAGCACUCACCUCCAUUUCCAACCCAGGCUUGCGUAUCAUCUGGUUCUUUGCCAGAGAACCCCAAUGCUUUCAGUACAAAGGAAUCGUCAUGCAAUAUUCUUGUCUUACCUAUUGAAAUCAAAAUGCACCAGCUGCAUAUCUUCUGAUAUCUCCACUUCUACUGUAGCAUGAGGACGUGUCUGCACCAAUAUAAAUGGCAAUGCCACUCCUCCUGAAGGAGCAUUUCCUGAACCAUAAAGCUGCUCGUUUCGCUGUGCCAAAUAGAAGAAAAUAUCCUUACUUGAUCUUCUAACUCCUGCAAAUAUGCAUUUUUCUUGUCGAUCCUACCUUUCAGUCCGAUGAUCUCUGUCUGUAAAAUUUGUAUAAAUUUAUCAA
RNAcentral lists this small RNA (686 nucleotides) under Oryza sativa Japonica Group (Japanese rice). Its description in RNAcentral is "sRNA Os10g0440050". Lineage: Eukaryota; Viridiplantae; Streptophyta; Magnoliopsida; Poales; Poaceae. The record is from RNAcentral.